GUGUUGUAGAAAAGAGACUGUAAACGCUUCCCUUGACAAGGAUGGAAGAGGUCCCAGUGGCCUUUGCGACACACAUACGGCUAAAACACUGCCACCUACUUAGUGGUAUCUCUAAACAAGUUUUUAA
This is a small nuclear RNA of Pseudophryne corroboree (corroboree frog), 127 nucleotides long. The record is from RefSeq and is a predicted model, not a curated record. NCBI's taxonomy places the organism in Eukaryota, Metazoa, Chordata, Amphibia, Anura, Myobatrachidae.